This 497-nucleotide ribosomal RNA is filed under the name uncultured bacterium. Its description in RNAcentral is "partial 16S ribosomal RNA". It matches the Rfam family "Bacterial small subunit ribosomal RNA", at positions 28 to 507 of the family's 1533-position model. The record is from RNAcentral.
GAUGAACGCUGGCGGCGUGCCUAAUACAUGCAAGUCGAGCGAACAGAUGAGGAGCUUGCUCCUCUGACGUUAGCGGCGGACGGGUGAGUAACACGUGGAUAACCUACCUAUAAGACUGGGAUAACUUCGGGAAACCGGAGCUAAUACCGGAUAAUAUAUUGAACCGCAUGGUUCAAUAGUGAAAGACGGUUUUGCUGUCACUUAUAGAUGGAUCCGCGCCGCAUUAGCUAGUUGGUAAGGUAACGGCUUACCAAGGCGACGAUGCGUAGCCGACCUGAGAGGGUGAUCGGCCACACUGGAAUUGAGACACGGUCCAGACUCCUACGGGAGGCAGCAGUAGGGAAUCUUCCGCAAUGGGCGAAAGCCUGACGGAGCAACGCCGCGUGAGUGAUGAAGGUCUUCGGAUCGUAAAACUCUGUUAUUAGGGAAGAACAAAUGUGUAAGUAACUAUGCACGUCUUGACGGUACCUAAUCAGAAAGCCACGGCUAACUACGUG